GGUUGAUCCUGCCAGUAGGCAUAUGCUUGUCUCAAAGAUUAAGCCAUGCAUGUCUAAGUAUAAGCAAUUAUACAGUGAAACUGCGAAUGGCUCAUUAAAUCAGUUAUCGUUUAUUUGAUAGUACCUUACUACUUGGAUAACCGUGGUAAUUCUAGAGCUAAUACAUGCGUAAAGUCCCGACCUCUGGAAGGGAUGUAUUUAUUAGAUAAAAAAUCAAUGCCUUCGGGCUCUUUGAUGAUUCAUAAUAACUUUUCGAACCGCAUGGCCUUGCGCUGGCGGUGGUUCAUUCAAAU
Molecule: ribosomal RNA, 293 nt
Filed under: uncultured eukaryote
Lineage: Eukaryota
Description: partial 18S ribosomal RNA
Rfam family: Eukaryotic small subunit ribosomal RNA
Source: RNAcentral